UAGGACCCCAAACAUCAGAAUGAACAAUGUCAAAAGGAGACUCUGCUCGAUUAUUUAUCUUGCUUGAAAAAGACGUUCGAACAUGUUUUUCAAGCCGACACGACUCACACUCUAAAGACUGCAAAUGAGAGAGAUGAGGGAUCAUCUUUCUCAGCUUAUUUAGAUUCGGAUGAUCCAGACGAUGGUGAAGGAGACUAGGAGACUCUGUGACAGCACAUAUGGUAGAGGAUGGAGGUUGGAGAUAAUAAAGUCCUUGUGAUUCAGAUCCUACACCAAUCGUCUGUUCCGUACUCUGAUCUUGUAUAAGAAAAGAAUCAGCAGUAAAGGUUAUAGAGCAGUCAAGAGUGCGAGUAAGUUGACUAAUAGAA
Molecule: long non-coding RNA, 368 nt
Filed under: Elaeis guineensis (African oil palm)
Lineage: Eukaryota; Viridiplantae; Streptophyta; Magnoliopsida; Arecales; Arecaceae
Description: long non-coding RNA (EGUI_LNC071980)
Source: RNAcentral